RNAcentral lists this ribosomal RNA (398 nucleotides) under Leiosolenus purpureus. RNAcentral's name for it is "Lithophaga purpurea partial 12S ribosomal RNA". Lineage: Eukaryota; Metazoa; Mollusca; Bivalvia; Mytilida; Modiolidae. The record is from RNAcentral.
UAAAAAAGGUUUACCAGAUGACUACAAGUUCGUUCUUAAAAGUCAAAUGAAUUGGCGGAUCGGGNCUAAAACGUACAGGGGAAUCUGGGCGUUAAAGGACGCCCCGCCUACAUUUGUUCCUUAACUUAGCUUCUGCACCUGUAUGGCCGUUUGCAACUACCGUGCGUAAGGCGUGUGUUCAGUCGGUCGCUGUUUAGGGACCCUUAAACUGCUUUACGGAGCGGUUAAAAGGGCUCUUUCGUUGACCAAAGAAGACAGGUUGUCAUUGGUCUACUGUUAAGGCUAGUCUGGAUUACAGUUGAGAUUGAGCACAUCGGAUUUACUUAGGAAACUUUGUAAUGAAGGAGGACUUGUGAGUAAAAUUGUUAAAUAAUGGCAAUUUGAACGAUGUCCGAUAG